UGCACAAGUCACUUCCUGGAUGCUGUCUA
Molecule: non-coding RNA, 29 nt
Filed under: Mus musculus (house mouse)
Lineage: Eukaryota; Metazoa; Chordata; Mammalia; Rodentia; Muridae
Source: RNAcentral